This 239-nucleotide long non-coding RNA is filed under the name Physcomitrium patens. RNAcentral describes it as "long non-coding RNA (PPAT_LNC010778)". Lineage: Eukaryota; Viridiplantae; Streptophyta; Bryopsida; Funariales; Funariaceae. The record is from RNAcentral.
AAAAAUCACAAAUAUAUGCAACUAAAAUAAAAAAUAUCUUAUAAAAGUUGACUUUAAAGCUGUUGAAUAUAUGCAAAUUAAAUAUGCUAUAAAUAGAAAUAUAUGAAUUUAGAUUUUGUGAUUUUCUAUGAAUUUAGAAUGUGAGUUCUAUUGAAUGAUUUUGUAUUUGUAAGAGAAGUGAAGAAGAAAGAAUUCAUAGCAAGAUUUAUGGCAUCCAAUAUAUAAUCAUGAAAUAGCAA